GGGUGGAGUUUGCCUAGAUUUGAAAAUCAUUCCAUCUCCUGACAAAGAAACCCCACUCUAUUAAACUUGUUCUACUCUUUAUACUCGUGUCAGAUGGGAUCUCUGAAUACAAUUUUCUGAUCAUCUAGCUGAGGAUGUCCCAAGCUGAUGUCUCUUACAGGAUGAAUUGGAGGCCUCUCUAAAUGGAAGUUCAAUUAUUCUCACCAACUGGUUUGGCUAAUUUAUGGUUGACUUUUUGGUGGGUGAUUUCUUGAUGCGGUUUCUUGGGGCUUUUAACAGAAUGGAAAUUGCGCUUUCAACUCCCUUUUUAUAUGCUACUGCAAUGGGCUCUUUUGAAGAAUGAAGAGCUAGGAUCUUUAGGAUUUACAUUUUGAAAAUAAGGACUUUUAUCUGCAACAGCCUGAUGAGGGCUUUUGACAUAAGAUUCUCUUUUCAAGUUAUUCUGUAGGAACCUAUCUACUGUUGACCUUAUGUACAAAUGCAGCCGCGUGAACGAUUGAACUAUAAAGGUUUUUGUCGCUUUAUGAUGAAUUGAACAGUCGAGGUUCUGUGAUCCUAACUAUGGUUAUCCUCAAUCAAUUCUUGAUGUUUCUGUUGUUUUGGAAACUGUAGAAAAUGAAUACUGUUUAAAUCUUCAUGCGGUAGUAAAUUAUGCUUCUCAAGGGAAGAACCUGCAAGUGGCUGUUUGUAAAUCCACAAGUGUGUAUAUCAUCAGAAUACAUUACAGUUAGCUAAGUUUGUUUAACAUGCAAUGUAAAUGAGUAUAAUGUCGCUUGAUGAGGGAAAUUAAAUUGCUAUUUGAUCCUUUAUGUGUCCUUUAUUGUUUCAUAUUUUAAAACUGCAACCCUUUUGAGUUUUGAGCAAUGCUUUGGGAAAUUUCAUUUCACUUUAAUUACUGAUUAAGUAAUGAAAUAGUGAUUCAAUCAGUUUAUACUUGGCUGUCAUCAUUAUUUCUUUUUUCUUUUUUUUUU
Molecule: unclassified non-coding RNA, 971 nt
Filed under: Hevea brasiliensis (rubber tree)
Lineage: Eukaryota; Viridiplantae; Streptophyta; Magnoliopsida; Malpighiales; Euphorbiaceae
Source: RNAcentral